Molecule: ribosomal RNA, 464 nt
Filed under: uncultured bacterium
Lineage: Bacteria
Description: partial 16S ribosomal RNA
Rfam family: Bacterial small subunit ribosomal RNA
Source: RNAcentral
GACGAACGCUGGCGGCGUGCUUAACACAUGCAAGUCGAACGGUAAGGCCCCAGCUUGCUGGGGUACACGAGUGGCGAACGGGUGAGUAACACGGGGGUGACCUGCCCCGCACUUCGGGAUAAGCCUGGGAAACUGGGUCUAAUACCGGCUAGGACCGCACCGUGAGGGUGUGGUGGAAAGUUUUUCGGUGUGGGAUGGGCCCGCGGCCUAUCAGCUUGUUGGUGGGGUAAUGGCCUACCAAGGCGGCGACGGGUAGCCGGCCUGAGAGGGUGGACGGCCACAUUGGGACUGAGACACGGCCCAGACGCCUACGGGAGGCAGCAGUGGGGAAUAUUGCACAAUGGGCGGAAGCCUGAUGCAGCGACGCCGCGUGGGGGAUGACGGCCUUCGGGUUGUAAACUCCUUUCACCAUCGACGAAGGUUUUCUGACGGUAGAUGGAGAAGAAGCACCGGCUAACUACGUG